RNAcentral lists this ribosomal RNA (1309 nucleotides) under marine metagenome. Its description in RNAcentral is "bacterial LSU rRNA". It matches the Rfam family "Bacterial large subunit ribosomal RNA", at positions 691 to 1985 of the family's 2925-position model. The record is from RNAcentral.
CGCGUUAAGUCUGUAGUAGUAGACCCGAAACCGAGCGAUCUAUCCAUGGCCAGGGUGAAGGUUAGGUAACACUGACUGGAGGCCCGAACCCACUUAUGUUGAAAAAUGAGGGGAUGAGCUGUGGAUAGGAGUGAAAGGCUAAUCAAACCCGGAGAUAGCUGGUUCUCUUCGAAAACUAUUUAGGUAGUGCCUCAUGUAUUACCAUUGGGGGUAGAGCACUGUUUCGGCUAGGGGGUCAUCCCGACUUACCAAACCGAUGCAAACUCCGAAUACCAAUGAGUACGAGCAUGGGAGACAGACUGCGGGUGCUAACGUCCGUAGUCGAGAGGGAAACAACCCAGACCGUCAGCUAAGGUCCCAAAUUAUGAUUAAGUGGGAAACAAUGUGGGAAGGCACAAACAGCUAGGAGGUUGGCUUAGAAGCAGCCAUCCUUUAAAGAAAGCGUAAUAGCUCACUAGUCGAGUCGGCCUGCGUGGAAGAUAUAACGGGGCUAAAUCAUAAACCGAAGCUACGGAUCUUAAAUUUAUUUAAGAUGGUAGAAGAGCGUUCUGUAAGCGGCCGAAGGCGUGCUGUGAGGCAUGCUGGACGUAUCAGAAGUGCGAAUGUUGACAUGAGUAACGAUCAAAGAGGUGAAAAACCUCUUCGCCGAAAAUCCAAGGUUUCCUGUCCAACGCUAAUCGUGGCAGGGUGAGUCGGCUCCUAAGGCGAGGGCGAAAGCCGUAGUCGAUGGAAAACAGGCUAAUAUUCCUGUACUUCUUAUAAUUGCGAUGGGGUGACGGAGAAGGUUAGACUAGCACGGCGAUGGUUGUCCGUGUUCAAGGUUGUAGACUUAGAUCUUAGGUAAAUCCGGGAUCUUUUAAGGUCGAGGACUUAUAACGACCACUCUUUGAGUGGGAAGUAGUUUAUACCAUGCUUCCAGGAAAAACCUCUAAGCUUCAGAUUAUAAGGAACCGUACCCUAAACCGACACAGGUGGAUAAGUCGAGAAGACUAAGGUGUUUGAGAGAACUAUGGUGAAGGAACUAGGCAAAAUGGUACCGUAACUUCGGGAGAAGGUACGCCACCAUUGGUGAUAAGACUUGCUCUUUAAGCUGAUGGUGGUCGAAGAAACUAGGUGGCUGCAACUGUUUAUUAAAAACAUAGCACUCUGCAAAAUCGUAAGAUGACGUAUAGGGUGUGACGCCUGCCCGGUGCCGGAAGGUUAAUUGAUGGGGUUAGCUUAGGCGAAGCUCCUGAUCGAAGCCCCGGUAAACGGCGGCCGUAACUAUAACGGUCCUAAGGUAGCGAAAUUCCUUGUCGGGUAAGUUCCG